Ananas comosus (pineapple) is the source of this 350-nucleotide long non-coding RNA. RefSeq lists it as uncharacterized. The record is from RefSeq and is a predicted model, not a curated record. The transcript has 2 exons. Lineage: Eukaryota; Viridiplantae; Streptophyta; Magnoliopsida; Poales; Bromeliaceae.
GAUUAAGGUAAAAUGUGCAUGUAGGAUUUGCUCCUCCCCCAACCUGCUUAUUCCCAAACCCUCUCCUUCGUUCUUCUCCUCCGCACGUGUCCUCCCAAAACCCUCUCCUUUCGCUCCUCUCCUCCACUCCAAACCCUAACCUCUGCUCAUCUCCUUCGUCGAUCUCGUUGAGAAACGAAGAACGCGGAGCUAGGCAUUUCAAAUAGAAGAAUAUAUUUUUCUUUUUUCCCUUUUUUUUCCCCCUAAUCUUUUACUUACGAGUCUUUAAUGGGCAUGAAAGAGAUUAUUCUAACUUCUGUUAACCAUUUUAUAGUUGAAUAAUGUUAGUGUGUUGUACUAACUUGUUUUGA